GUACUGGUGGUGGUGGUGAGUUAAAUGGUACAGGUGGUGGAGGAGAAUGGACAGGUGGUGGUGGAGAAUGUAUUGGGGCUGGUGGAGGUGAGUGGACUGGUGGUGGAGGUGAGUGGACUGGUGGUGGAGGUGAAUGGACUGGGGGUGGUGGAGAAUGCAUUGGGGGUGGUGGAGAAUGGACUGGUGGUGGAGGUGAGUGGACUAGGGGUGGUGGAGAAUGGACUGGUGGUGGAGGUGAGUGGACUGGGGGUGGUGGAGGUGAGUGGACUGGGGGUGGUGGAGAAUGGACUGGUGGUGGAGGUGAGUGGACUGGGGGUGGUGGAGAAUGAACUGGUGGUGGAGGUGAGUGGACUGGUGGUGGAGGUGAGUGGACUGGUGGUGGAGGUGACUGGACUAGGGGUGUGGGAGAAUGGACUGAUGGUGGUGGAGUCCUAAAUCGUCCGCGGGGCGCUUCAUUGUGAGGAUCAUCCUCAAGUGGGGGCGAUUUAGGUGUUUCUGGUGAAUGUGGUGGUUGUGGUAUUGUUGUUUGUGGUGUGGGAGGUGGCUCUGCUUUGGGGGUUGGUUGUGGUUCUGGCUUAGGGGUUUGUGGUGUGGAAGGUGGUUGCACUUCUGGUGUUUCAGGUGUAGGUGGAGGUUCUGGAUUGGGUGUUUGUGGUGUGACAGGUGGUUCCACUUCUGGUGUUUCUGGUGUGGGUGGAGGUUCUGGCUUAGGUGUUUGUGGUGUGACAGGUGCUUGUGUUUUUGGUGUUUCUGGUGUGGGUGGUUUUGUUUUGGGGGUUUCUGGUGUCUGUGGCGGUGAUUCUGGGUUCGAG
RNAcentral lists this long non-coding RNA (812 nucleotides) under Lupinus angustifolius (narrow-leaved blue lupine). RNAcentral's name for it is "long non-coding RNA (LANG_LNC000516)". The record is from RNAcentral. Lineage: Eukaryota; Viridiplantae; Streptophyta; Magnoliopsida; Fabales; Fabaceae.